RNAcentral lists this long non-coding RNA (506 nucleotides) under Medicago truncatula (barrel medic). RNAcentral's name for it is "lncRNA gene3715". Lineage: Eukaryota; Viridiplantae; Streptophyta; Magnoliopsida; Fabales; Fabaceae. The record is from RNAcentral.
CUUGCAAUUAAUUAUGUGUUCAUUUCGUGUUCCUUGUUUGGAAUUAUUUCAUCAAAAGUCAAAACAAUGCAUGCCAUAUAUAGCCAUGUUACUUUUCAAAAUGUGAAUUUCAAUCCAUUGUAUCCCUAUUUGCAUUUCAAUUCAUUCUUAGCCACAAAUACGUUUCAGGGCAAUUCAAAUAUUUAUGAAAAUUGAAAUUCAAGGUAAUGGCAGGGAAAACUAUAAUUUGCCAAAGCAUACAUGGAAUGUGUAAUGAUAGGAAACAAUUCUAAAGAAAAUCGAGAUCGUUUCAUUUUAAUGUACCCCUGUUUCAAUUUACAAUUCAUGAAGUUGAGAAAAUACUUUCUGUUUUUGUGUGUUAUCAACAUAUGAAACUUUUCUAUUAUGUAUAUGUCCUUUCUCUUAUGCAGUUAUCCAUUUCAUCGUAACUACCUUCUGAACAAAAUGGAGGGGGAUUUGAAUUCAUUUUGAUUUUCAAAAUAAAAUCCUCGGUAACUUUAAUUACC